Molecule: long non-coding RNA, 2908 nt
Organism: Lynx canadensis (Canada lynx)
Lineage: Eukaryota; Metazoa; Chordata; Mammalia; Carnivora; Felidae
Exons: 5
Source: RefSeq, a predicted model, not a curated record
GCUGAGACCAUAAGAGUGGCUGUUCCGACCCAGAAACAGCUGGAUUGAGCCACCUGACCCUCUUAAAUUUAGCCUCUGGACCGGGGUGGAGGCCGUGCUGGUUCCAACUGGAUCCUCUGACCGCCGAGUGCACCGAGAGGUCUGUCCAGUGACCACUCAGCCGCGGACGCCAGACACUGCCCACCACACGUCCCUCACGGCCACCUGAACGUUUUGUUUUUAGAAUAGCGCCCCGCUCGUUUUGAGACACUCGUGUCACACUCAAGACUACAAACAGAAAAUGCUCCAGUGGACACCAGCGCCCCCAGAAUUCUCGGCGGCGACCUCUUUCUCCGUCCAUUUUCAGAGAGAAGGACAGAUGGACGGAUGGAAAUCUUUCCCAGAAAAGGGCUCCUGCAAUGAUACACGCUCUUCGGGGGGGAAAAGCACUUAAAUUCAACAGAACAAAAGGAAGCCUGGAUGUAACUGAAGACAUUGCCCAACUGCAAAUGAUUGUGCUUCUUAUGUUUCUCAAUUAUUUCCCUAAAAGGAAAGAAAAAUACCAAGAGGCUGGAUUCAUUCUUUAAACAUGUUUCCACUGUAGAUGGCAUCUCUUGACAGCCGGUGAUUUGGGACGAGGAAAUGAGCUCACCCACUUCCUAUCCCCUUCCCCUCCCAGAAGCUGUGAGUUCUUAUUUUUACAUUGUCGAGUUCUGUGCUCCUUGCAUCCUGUCCUGUAACCAUCCUUCCCACCAUUGUUUGGCUCAGUUCCGUGCAAGCAUAUGGGUGUUCUGCUCACGGCCAGUCCUUUCCAAAUGAGCUUCCUGGUCCUCUGUUCCCGAGUCCUUCAGCUGGGAGCUCCUCCUGACACCUUGACUUGGCCUUCAAGGACUCUGUUCCCCGAGAGGGUCCUGUCGGUCCCAGCCUCUGGGUUGCGGCUGCCAGGCUGCAGGUCUGGAGACCUGAAGCACGGCCCGGGGGUAGGUGGAUGGUCAAACGGGCUGACGGAUGCCCGGUGAAACCGGCACAAAUCCCCAGUGUUGGGUCGAGCACUGCACUCACCAAGAUGAUUGCUUGCUGAAAACCGAGUCUUGAACUUGUAUGUGGUGAUACACAGUUGAAGUUUUAGAUUUUGGAAAGAAGGGAAACGACGAGGGGGUGGGGGUGCAGAGAGGGGUAUGGAAUAUUGUGUAGAAAGAAAGGACAGGCCAGGCUUCUGGCCCAGGGAACCUCCAUGACCAUGUUUCCCAUCGCUACCCUCACCCCCGUACAUUUCAUCCCGUCAACAGCAGUGCCCUCUCCUGUCUGCACUUGGAGAAAUCCAACUUCUUCAGUGCCUAGGUCAAAUGCCACCUCCCCUGUGAAGCCCUUCUGUGACGUUUGGAUCAUUAUUUGGCAAAUAUUUACUUCCCUCCUCUCCCACUGUGGGAAGAGUGAUGAGAUGGCUGAUGAGAUGUUUAGAGACCAGACGAGGAGCCAACCACGACAUGGGCUUGGUGGCAGAGCAUGCCUACAUGGGCUUCCGUCAUUGCUAGGAGCACAGUUCCCCCCCCCCCUGCAUAGCCCGCUCGUUCCAAAACAGACCUCAACCAAACCCCUGCCAGGAGCCAAUCUAGCUAGGCCCAGCAAAACUGGCAGUGGAGUCAGAAGUACAUACUUAUAAUGUAAGCCAUUGAAUGAAGGGGCCAUUUGUUACACAGCAUUGCUGCAGUGAUGGUUGACCAAUGCACUUUCUCUGUCCAUUUUCUCUUUUGUGCUUGAGCUGUACUUUGUCCCACAGCUUUACUUUAUUAACCCUAGAACUGAUUUUGUUGUAGAGUCUGGCUUCCCUCUGGUCUCUGAGCAGCUUGAGGCGAGGACGGUGUCUGACUCAAUUCUGACAACCCAGUGCCCAGUUGAAUGGCACCCAAAGUCAUCCUUUCCAUCUGCAACCUUUCCAGGACAGCCGGUCUCAGUGGAGAGCCCAAGGCCUCUGCUUCCAGGACACAUCUGCAAAUUUGGACAAGAAGGUUCAAAAGCCCCACACUUUGGUAUCCACUGCCAGGGAAAAUACUCAGAGCACAGCUGCCCUCACCUGGGAACAUUGGGACAACGGCCUCUUUGAUAGGCUAAGGAAUGGAAACAGGGAGACGACCUGAGCACCAGUCACCGCGUGAGACGAUGGAAGAAAACCCACAGAGUCCUGGAGGGGAUGUAUUUAUUGCGUUCCCACCAUGCGCUACCAGCCGGUGGACAGAACAGCCUCAAAUCCUGCUGUUGUGGGGGUUUUGACGCCACCGAGAUGGUGACCAAGGCAGAUCUCUACACCGGUCACCUAUUCCCAGCUCCCCGAAGCUCCGGAACAAUCAUCACGGACGUACCACCCAACCUGUACACGGUCCCAUGGUAUGGUAAUCGGCUUGAGCUGCCAUGACAAAAUACCAUAGACUCCGUGCUGUAAACAACAGAAAUUUAUUUCUCCCAGCUCCGGAGGCUGGAAGUUCAAGAUCAAGGUGCCAGCAAGGUAGGUUUCAUUGUAAGGCCUCUUCUCUUGGCGUGGAGGUAGGGGGCCAUCCUCUCGGUGUGCUUGCCUGACCCCGUCUUUGUGCUGCAUGAGGGGAGGAGGGAGAGGGAGAAAGAGAGAGGUGUUGUGUCUCUUCUUCUUACAAGGACAUCAGUUCUGUCAGAUUAGAGCCUCACCUUUACGACUGCAUUUAACCUAAAUUACACUCUAAAGACUCUAUCUCCAAAUACAGUCACAUGGGGGUUAAGGUUUUAACGCAGGAAUUAUGGGAGGACACGACUGAGUCCAUAGCACAUGGACACCCAACAAAUGCUCAGAAUCUGGUCUGCCACUUCACAGAGAAUAGAAAGAGUCAACUUUCUGUAAGUGUUAGAAAUGUUCUGUAUUUGUGUGGUAGUUACAUAAGAGUGUGUGUGUGUAUGUGUG